Molecule: unclassified non-coding RNA, 342 nt
Filed under: soil metagenome
Description: partial contains 5.8S ribosomal RNA, internal transcribed spacer 2, and large subunit ribosomal RNA
Rfam family: 5.8S ribosomal RNA (bases 1-120)
Source: RNAcentral
GAUGAAGAACGUAGCGAAAUGCGAUAAGUAGUGUGAAUUGCAGAAUUCAGUGAAUCAUCGAAUCUUUGAACGCACAUUGCGCCCUUUGGUAUUCCAAAGGGCAUGCCUGUUCGAGCGUCAUUUGUACCCUCAAGCUUUGCUUGGUGUUGGGCGUCUUGUCUCUAGCUUUGCUGGAGACUCGCCUUAAAGUAAUUGGCAGCCGGCCUACUGGUUUCGGAGCGCAGCACAAGUCGCACUCUCUAUCAGCAAAGGUCUAGCAUCCAUUAAGCCUUUUUUUCAACUUUUGACCUCGGAUCAGGUAGGGAUACCCGCUGAACUUAAGCAUAUCAAUAAGCGGAGGGA